Molecule: ribosomal RNA, 300 nt
Filed under: uncultured bacterium
Lineage: Bacteria
Description: bacterial SSU rRNA
Rfam family: Bacterial small subunit ribosomal RNA
Source: RNAcentral
AGCUAAUAGAUACCCGGGUAGUCCACGCCGUAAACGAUGAUGACUAGCUGUCCGGGCACAUGGUGCUUGGGUGGCGCAGCUAACGCAUUAAGUCAUCCGCCUGGGGAGUACGGUCGCAAGAUUAAAACUCAAAGGAAUUGACGGGGGCCUGCACAAGCGGUGGAGCAUGUGGUUUAAUUCGAAGCAACGCGCAGAACCUUACCAGCGUUUGACAUGCCUAGUAUGGUUUCCAGAGAUGGAUUCCUUCAGUUCGGCUGGCUAGGACACAGGUGCUGCAUGGCUGUCGUCAGCUCGUGUCGU